Non-coding RNA from Oreochromis niloticus (Nile tilapia), 45 nucleotides. Lineage: Eukaryota; Metazoa; Chordata; Actinopteri; Cichliformes; Cichlidae. The record is from Rfam.
CCAACGGCUCUUUUCAGAGCCACCCACCUCUGCUGAGGAGCACAU